This is a long non-coding RNA of Gadus chalcogrammus (walleye pollock), 905 nucleotides long. RefSeq lists it as uncharacterized. NCBI's taxonomy places the organism in Eukaryota, Metazoa, Chordata, Actinopteri, Gadiformes, Gadidae. The record is from RefSeq and is a predicted model, not a curated record. The transcript is spliced from 4 exons.
UCACACGCACCCACACGUCUAUAUUAAGGUGCUCACGUAGGAAUGGUUUAAUUGUUAUGUCUUUAGCCUCGCUUAUCAGGUUUUCGCACCAGAUAGUGCGCUCGCGUUUUCCGUCAAUUUCAGCUAAACUCCAAAGGGACCCACCGCUACUUAUAAACGUGUUUUUGUGUGCUACUUUUGACUGAACAAUCCUGACAAACAUUUCCACCAGAGGAAGGUCUUCAACAAAGACCACCACAGACAAUCCCUUGCUGAUGACUGACUUAACUUGACUGUAUGGGGGGGCCCGCUGCCCCCCCAUAUAUCACCGACGACGUCCUAAUUGUGAACGGCGGGGGAUGAGGUCACAGGUCAGCUUAGCUCAGGAGGUAGAGCAGUUGUCUUGUAACCGCAAGGUUGCUAGUUCGAUCCCCAGCUCCUCCUAGCUGAGUGGUGAUGUGUCCCUGAGCAAGACACUUAACCCUAACUACUCCUGACGAGCUGGCUGUCGCCGUGCAUCGUUGACUCUGCCGUCAAUGUUUGUAUUAACCGAUUUGUAACUGGGUUUUUGAUCGUGGACAGUAAGGAUUCUCUGCCUGAUGACUCCAUUGAACUCCCCCUUGUGCAGAUUGGCAUCACUUUGACUGUUGCAGCGGCAAGGAAUCGUCUUAUCUCCUGCCAGUUGUAAAUGGUGUUGCAGUGUGCUAAAGGAGCCUGGGAAAGGAAGAGUCGAAGCGCCUUUCCUUAGCAGUUGGACAAUAAUUGGACCCGCUCUCAUCAUGGCUGCCACUCCUGGGUCAUUUUACUCUACCUUUCUGUCCACAAACCUCAUCUCCCUUGUAAAUGGUUUUCCUGUUAAUACUUAAACUAAAAUGGUUGCUAUUAUUUUAACUUGUGUCGCUUUGUGAAUAAAAACUAUUUACAAA